ACUGACAUCUGCCGGAAAAAAUGUGACAUUACACUGACUGGAGUUAGUUGGAGCAAAAUAUGACAAAUUUGAAAGCGAAAGUCGUCGACAUCCUGCGACAUUUGUCUUCUCGUCAAUCCGAAAGAGACUGGUUUGCAAAGACUCAACCAAAAAACGGUGAAAAAUGUAAGUUUAUCUUGACUGUUUUUUUUUCUAGUCGUCUGAAUUAAGGUUAAUGUGACUUAAAAACGUACCACAAAUGAUCAGAGACUGUGUAAUAGCCUAAGUGAAAGUGAACCGGGGCGGUGGGGGGAUUUCAAGUGGUGGAAAAAGUCCUUUGUCAAACUCUCUAAGAAAACCUUCAGAAAUUAUGUUGUCUUCGAAAAGUACAUUCAGUGUCAUGAAGAGAGGAGGUAUGUCCCUGUGACUGACAGCCUUUAAGCGGAUCUUCAUGAGAUAACCUGUUGGGGUGUAAGGUAGCAAGUGUAACAGUCGGGGUAAGGAAGUUUGUUCUGCUGCAGGCCACUGUUAGGGGAGACCGGGUCUUGUUGUCACACAUUUAACGCUCUUAUAUCUUACUGGGAAUCAAAACAUCAGAUGUAAACAAAAUAUUUACCAACGUGCUCUGGAGUUUGGAGAGCUGUCUGACUGUAUUCUGGCUGGGAUGAAUGUUUUGCAGUACCAAACUAAGGUAUGCUAGUUGACAUGAAAGUCCUUUAUCGUCUACCAGAUUGAUUUAUUAGAUAGGGUCACCUGUCUGACUGCCCUCAGCAUCACGUCAGGUACUGCACUACCAUGUUCUGUUUUUCUUAUGUAAUUCCUGAUCAUGUCUUCUUGCUUUCAUCUCUCCUUUAAACCACAGUCUUCUCCGUAAAAAUAUAGUCAAAAUAUCAAUUUGGCAACUGCUGAUAAGCAGACUCUCUAUGUUAAUUUGAAUCCCUUUUAAACAUGUGACAACUAACCCCAAAAUGACUGAGACAUGUUGCCCCAAACUACCAUGUUGGCUAAUUCUCGCCCUAGCUUAAAGUUAGCGUAAAACAGAACAAUGACUGAAUUAUGACAGAAUGCUGUAAUCCCCCCUUUAACAAGUCCAUGUGUAUCACUGCUAGAAUUUUUAUCUGGAAGAAGCUUAUUUUAAAAUAUAUAAGGUUAAUUUUCUUUACUUUGGAUUGCGCAAAAUGGUUAAUUGGCGCUCAUCUCAGCUCACAAUGUGGUCUUCUCUUCUCAGACAGGACACGACCCCUGAUCAUAUAAAGGAAGCAAACUAGUAUUCCACUUUUUAGUUGCGCCCUCUGGUGGCAAAGAUAAUUGCAACGUGACAACUUACCCAUGUGACAACAAGCCUCCCCUACAUAAAAACAUGAGUGUGGUUGUAACAUUUUCCCUCUUGUUUUUAUGAAAAGGGUGAAAAUUUUCCCGUUUGUAACCGGAAAAACUUUGGACUCCCACACGGAUUUUCUUAGAAAACUGAAAAGAAAGGGUGCAAAGGUGGUUGAAUCACAUGAAGGUGCUGUGGUCAUCGUCUUCUGUCCCAUCGUCAGUCGUUAUGAGACUGACAUUUCUGCAGCGUUAUCCAGCGUCUCAGGUAAACACACCAAAACAUGAAAAAGUACUCAUGCAAAAGUACAAGGUCAUGUGCUGUCUUUAAGCUUUACAUCCUUGUUUCUUCUCGAAGACUCCAAAAUCAGGCAACUGGACUGUGUAGAGUUGACAAACAGUCUUUAUGAGACUGACAUUUCUGCAGCAUUCUCAACUCUUCACAGUCCAGUUCCCUGAUUUUGGAGUCUUCAAGAUAAGUAUGACCUGGAUGAAUAAAAAUCUACAUGGACAUCCUUGUUUCUUUUUUUGCCACAGAAAGAGAAUAUGAGCAAGUGAUCCUGGUAGCCUUGCAUCACACUUAUGAUAAAGAGUACACAGUACCAAAUCAUGGAGAGUACCAACAUCCUAAACUCAGGCUCCUUGUGGACUGUCUCUUUUAUGAAGAUCAGGGACUUCUGAAAUGCUCCCGCAAUAAAAAGAUGGUGAAGAAAGUCUGUAAAGAGGUAAGAGGUUACACAACAAGCAAAUAAUAUAAGAAUAAUAGUAAGAAUAAAUUAAAAAUCAUCCUUUGUCAUGGCAUUCAAAUUAUUUGGAAAGUGUAUAGAAAGGCUGCUUCUUUAGUGUUUGAAAAUUGCUUUGUCUGACCUUCAGGCCUCAGUUACAGACAUUAGUUAUCACUAAAAAUAAUCAGCAUUGUUACUGAUGGUCUUAUUUGCCUAGUGUUUUCACCAGUAUUAAUGUCAGUCUGCUUUGUGAACAAUCAAAACUUCUUCCUUAAAAUAAGAAAGAAGCAAAAGAGGACACUAUAUGAAACAUUAAUCACCUUAAUGGAAAACUGUGUUUUAUUAAAUCAUUUAUAUUUGCAUAUUUAAAUAUCUUGUUCUAUGUUAAAAACAGUAUCAAACAUUGUAUCUCUGUUUUUAACUUCCGAAAUAUAGAACAUCAACAUUUUCAUCAUUGUACUUUGGCUUGAAAUUCACAGUUUUUCUUCUUUUGUGUUUAUUUUGCAGCUGAGAGUGAAACCGGGAGUGGGACGCAGGUUUAAAAACCUGAUGUCAAAGAGGAAUAAAGGGAGGAAAAAUUAAGUGUAAAAAGCAACAAAUUAAAAUUUGGAUUUAGGAGUGUUGACCAAAAGAAGUACGAGAAAAUGGAGAUGAUUACUACUGAGCUGUAAAACAUGAAGAAACUCCUGAACCACUGAAGUUAACUUUGGUCUUAAUGAAUGCAUUACAUGAGAUAAUGCAACUUUGUCUGUUUGUUAGCUUCUUCUUGGCAGAAAAAAAAAAUGAAACUACUCUGUUUAUCAAGUAUAUGGAAAUGCAUGUUACUUAUUUGUAUGACUUCACAUUAAGCUUUCCAAUUCUAAAGUAAUGUUAAACUCAAGGAAAAAAAAAAGAAAGAAACUGAAAUAUAGACAUUUAACUUUUUUUGUGAACUUGUCUUGUUGCUUUAUCAUCUAUUGUGCCAAUGCCAGUGUCCUUUAUAAGUUGUAAUAAACAGAAAAAAAGUAUUUUUAUUAUUGUCAUUAUUAAAUUUCUUAAAUAUGAGUUUAAAGUACGUUUUAUCAUGUGUAGUGAUCAUGAUACUUAAGAUUAGAUGCCUAUGUCAGCCUUAAUACGAAAAUGAAAGUAAUGACAGAGCGAAAGUGAGGAAAAUGUUAGAGCUCCCCCAUAGGUCCUGAAGCCUGCCUCUUCAAUGUAAACAGAGGAGACUUGGGUCAACCCCAGAGAUACCUAAGAGAGAAAUGGUUGUUUUUCUUAAACAUGAUCUGUCUUUAAUUCAAAUAUCCAUUUUUGGAGAAAAUUAUCUUUGAUUAAUUGAUGCUAUUAAAGGGGAUAUUGCAUACCAAGCCCUGUUGACAAAUCCAUCUGUGGUGCUUUCUGUACUGGAGACAAAGAGUUUUAGUCCAUGCCUGUUUAUAUAUCCACAGCAACACUUUACUCGAUGAAGAUGUAUGUUUGGACAAGAACACCUUGCUGAAGCAUGAACCUGACAGUGUUAGAUACUGUGUCUCCUGUGGAUUCCUGUAAAUCAUAAGCUAACCUGUGUAAUAUCUGUAUGAUGGUCUGACGCUCUGUGUUGCAGACUUUUUGAAACCACCUGUGGAAACAAAUCUACCAGAACAAGAGGAAAUCUAAGCAUUUCACAGCAUAUGUUAUGAGAUUCUGCCUCGUCAGCUGUAGACUUUUUGGUGUAGUUUGUUAUCUUUUAUUUCUCUGCUUUAAAUUUAUUACAAAGCUACAACAAAAUGCUUCUAAACCUAGUCUUUGGUGAGGUGGGUUUGAGUUUCUGUACUAAGGAUACUGUCAUCAAUUUAUCUGUUUUUAAGUGUCCCCAUGGUGCCUCUGCCAAAAAUUAAACAAGCAAACAAGUAAAAUUCAUGAACAAGUGAAAGGUAUUUGGAGCAGCUCUAUUUUUAUGCGACUGAAUGUAACAAGAUUUCACGUUCUGUUUUAGGACAAUUCAACACCCAAAAGUCUCCUGAAGUUUAAGGAACAGUCACACUUAAUUACACAGAAAAAAGAAAAUCAAGGUUUUCACAAAAUUAAAAGUUUUGAUUAUGGCUUUGGUCAUCAGCUUGAAACUUGGGGAGUCCCGAAAUAUCACAAUGAACUGUGUUAACUCUUUGUUUGCAGCAAAAGAAGAGGAAAAUAAACAAAUUGUGGCUUUAUGGAGAUAACAUUUUAUCAUAACUUUGAGACUUUUUCUCUUUGCAUUUUUACUGUUGCCAGUUUCUUCAAAGUAACUUGGUAAAUGGACAAAAAGGUCAAAUAAGUCUAACUUUUUGUUGCAAGGCAUGCAUUUGUUUGGUUCUCUUGGUUUCUCCUUGUUUGAUUUUUUUUUUCCAAAUAACCGACCUUAACUUGAUACUGUUUAAAAAUGUUUCUGUAUGAGAUGCAGGAUACUUUCAUACUGUACUCCCAUUGGCCAAGGCAGGGUUGCUACCCAAGUAAAAGUAUGGAAGUAAUUUGAUAAAUUUCCAGGUCUUAAAAAGUAUGGUAAAUGAAAAAUAAAGUAUGGAAAAAUAUUAAUGUUAACAGAAUAUAUUACCAUGGUUAUGAAAUAGUGUUUUAUAAGAUAAAAAAGUAGGUAUUCCCAAAAAUGAUUUUAAAAAGUAGGGUAUGGAAAAGUAUGGAAAUUCCAAUUGUGUUGGAACGCUGCCAAGGACUGCAGCGGUAUGACUGCGCUUUGCCUUUUAUCAGGUGUAAUGUAUAAAGGAUAGUCUUCAUUGAGUUUCUUAAACAUGCUCUUUAACAGACUAAGUCAGCUGAUAAACAAAUUUAGUGCUUAUCUUUAUGAAGUUAAGAUACAACUCAUAAAGAUUUGUUGUGGGUAAAGCCAAAAGUGAAUAUAUUUCUGAAUGUAGUUCAUGUGUCACACACAAGGUGGCAGUUGGAGUUGACAUUUUCUGCAACAACUCACUGAGGCUGUUCUUGGUGGCCAACAUGAACGCUAGACUUAUUCAUACUCCAUCACUGACAACUUCAUGGUGUCAAAUUCAUAACUUAGGCUGCAAAAGUGCGAAUUGAGUCAAACCAAUUCCACUUUAGCGAAAAAAUUUCCAUAAUUCAAGCAUUUGUGCUUAACUUAAAGUCUGAGAUGCUUCUAAAAAUAACAAAUUAUGUCCAAAAUGACAAAAAAUGACCUCAGUACAACAAUUCUACAGCUACACCUAACGUCUAAACACUUCAAACAAACAAAAAUCCUCUUUAAAGCAUAAUCUUUCUCCUUAGCAUUAAAAUGCUUGUUUUGACUUAAAACAGAGUGACAUUCUUGAAUGCACCCUGACCGAAAAAACACUGAAAUCCAUCCUGUCUGCAUGGGUGCACAGACUGCAGGCCCACAUCUGCAUAUGAACGUGGACACACGCCAACACACAAACACAAACACACACACAUACACAGAUGCCCUCACACACAAAUGCACAUAUACACACACAUAUAACAACACUGUGUACAACCCAAAAGUGAGUUCUCACAGACAGGAAAUGAUGUCAGCUCUUGUCUCCAAGGAGAUGGAGGCAGUUGCUAAGAUACUGUGACACUAGGAUUUUUCUCUCUAUUUUCUCUCCCUCUCUGUUUCUCAAACGCACACACACACACACACUCGCAGGGAUGUCACCACGAAUAACUUGAAACUCUCGCUUGUGUCUCUCUUAUUCUUUUUGCACAGAUGGCAAUGAGGACCAAUCCAACUUUUUUGUUACAUUUUCUAAAAAUAACCGUAGAAAAAAACAUCACUUUGUUCACAUUCCUGAUUGGACGCUGGAGGCCUUGAAAAGGGAUCGCUAACGCUUCAUGGCCUUAUCUAAAAUAAAAAAUUCUACAUUCAUAAUCUUUGCUUUGAACUGUGUGAAAUCAGCCCACCACCCACUUUUACGGCCUGUAGCUAAAACCCUGAAACCAUGCAAGUGAUGGAUGUGUAUCAGCACCCCUCCAAAGCUUCUUCACAGUGUGAGCUGCACCUCUCUGGUGCUAUCAGCAUGCCACAUAUGUCUUGGCACUAGCAUGUUGCUGCCAAAUCCUCCUCGCCCUCCCCCUAAACCUCCUCCCUCUCCUUCUCUGCCUGUGGCUCCUGAACGCAGCAUUAAAGAGUUUAUGGGGGUUUGGGCUUGUAUUGGAAAACGUCCUCAGUCCUCCCUGCGCUGUAUUUUCUACUCUGAGAGCCUUCCUGUACUGAUGACACAAGCAAUACAGCGAUGAGUGUUUGUUCAUUUACUGUGCACAAAUGCAUGUCCCUCUCCCUCUCCCUCCCCUUCGCUCUAUCACUCCCACACACACACAAUCACACACAUACGCUCAAGGGUGCCAGCACACACACACACACACACAGGCGUAGCAUACAUGCAUAAGGGGGAUAUCAGAUUCAAUGUGCAAUGACACAGUGAGGACAUAGAGUGGAAAAAAGAGGGGGGAAGGAAGGGAGGAAGGAAGGAGAGCGGAGGCAAAGACGGUGGUGGGUUUGGCAUGGGCGGCGUGGAAUCAUUUGAAAUGGCGCGGGGGCUGGGGGGGGUGGGGGGGGUGCAGAGAGAAAGGAGUAAUGCACUUAAAAAAAAAGGCAGCCAGGGUCGAGGCAAGAGAGACUGGAUGUGGGCUAAGAUUUCAGCAUGAGUGAUAGGGAAUGAGGGGAAGAGGGGAGAACGAGGGGAAAGGAGGAAUAUCCUCUGCACCACUGUGUGACUGGAAAUUUAAUAGAGGGAGAGGGAGAGAGAGAGGGAGAAAGAGAGAGGUAGAUGGGAGGGGGGAGGGGGAGAGGAAGAGAGAGGCAAAAAGGCACAGAGACCUCAUUGCUGUGCAGCUUUCAGCAAAAGCUAGUGGUCGUGAACAAUGCUCACUACGGCAUUCACAGGGAGGGGAGGGGGCAGAGAGAUGGAGAGGAGGAGGAGGAGGAGGAGGAGGAAGAGGAAGAGAGAGAGUAUAUACCUCUGGGGUCUUUCUGAAGCAUAACUGGCCUUCUCUGUCCUUUGA
Molecule: long non-coding RNA, 6986 nt
Filed under: Xyrichtys novacula (pearly razorfish)
Lineage: Eukaryota; Metazoa; Chordata; Actinopteri; Labriformes; Labridae
Source: RNAcentral